GAUGAACGCUGGCGGCGUGCCUAAUACAUGCAAGUCGAGCGAACAGAUGAGGAGCUUGCUCCUCUGACGUUAGCGGCGGACGGGUGAGUAACACGUGUAUAACCUACCUAUAAGACUGGGAUAACUUCGGGAAACCGGAGCUAAUACCGGAUAAUAUAUUGAACCGCAUGGUUCAAUAGUGAAAUACGGUUUUGCUGUCACUUAUAGAUGGAUCCGCGCCGCAUUAGCUAGUUGGUAAGGUAACGGCUUACCAAGGCAACGAUGCGUAGCCGACCUGAGAGGGUGAUCGGCCACACUGGAACUGAGACACGGUCCAGACUCCUACGGGAGGCAGCAGUAGGGAAUCUUCCGCAAUGGGCGAAAGCUUGACGGAGCAACGCCGCGUGAGUGAUGAAGGUCUUCGGAUCGUAAAACUCUGUUAUUAGGGAAGAACAAAUGUGUAAGUAACUAUGCACGUCUUGACGGUACCUAAUCAGAAAGCCACGGCUAACUACGUG
This 497-nucleotide ribosomal RNA is filed under the name uncultured bacterium. RNAcentral's name for it is "partial 16S ribosomal RNA". It matches the Rfam family "Bacterial small subunit ribosomal RNA", at positions 28 to 507 of the family's 1533-position model. The record is from RNAcentral.